GACGAACGCUGGCGGCGUGCUUAACACAUGCAAGUCGUACGGUAAGGCCCUUUCGGGGGUACACGAGUGGCGAACGGGUGAGUAACACGUGAGUAACCUGCCCACAACUUUGGGAUAACGCUAGGAAACUGGUGCUAAUACUGGAUAUGUGCUCCUGCUGCAUGGUGGGGGUUGGAAAGCUCCGGCGGUUGUGGAUGGACUCGCGGCCUAUCAGCUUGUUGGUGGGGUAGUGGCCUACCAAGGCGGCGACGGGUAGCCGGCCUGAGAGGGUGACCGGCCACAUUGGGACUGAGAUACGGCCCAGACGCCGACGGGAGGCAGCAGGGGGGAAUAUUGCACAAUGGGCGCAAGCCGGAUGCAGCAACGCCGCGGGCGGGAGGACGGCCUUCGGGUUGGAAACCGCUUUCAGCAGGGACGAAGCUUUUUGUGACGGUACCUGCAGAAGAAGCACCGGCUAACUACGUG
This 465-nucleotide ribosomal RNA is filed under the name uncultured bacterium. RNAcentral's name for it is "partial 16S ribosomal RNA". It matches the Rfam family "Bacterial small subunit ribosomal RNA", at positions 28 to 507 of the family's 1533-position model. The record is from RNAcentral.